CGCUUGGUGCCGGAGCCGGGGGACCGGGCCAGCGGCGCGCGGAGCUGUGAGUAUCCCCCGGCCCGUCCCCGACCUCCGCGGACCCCCCGCCCCGUUCUCGCGGAGCGCCCGGGCUCCCGUGUGUUCGGCGGCUGCAGGAGACGCUCCCUGCUGUCCCGCGCGUUUGCCUGCGCCGGUCUACACCGCAGGCCCCGUCUACACCGCACGCCGACUCUUCCGGCUCCUGCUCCAUCGUCUCCUGCCGCCCAGUAUCUGCUGUCCACGCCCUCCCUUCAUGGCCCGAAACCUGCCGCGGGGGGCGGGGGCAGCUUCCGGAGGAACCGGGGUCGUCAGCGGCUCCUCGCAGGUGCGCAACCCUGGGGGCAGGAGGAAAGGGAAUCCCCGGGGGCAAGAUCCUGGCGGCCCAAGAGCUUUUAUUCCCGCGACUUGGGAGCCCCGCCGGGGGCACAGAACACCCAUUCACCAAGCUGGCCGACGAGACCGUCCUAGACGGAUCAAGAAUGGGCAGAGGCUGAAGCAGGGCAGCAGCGUAAAGAUGGCGGGAUACCUCCUGAGGACGAGACAGUGAAUGAGUUCUACCCACGUCCAAUACCACCCUCUCCCCCCACCCCACCUCCACUGCUCUGAGAAAAGGCUACUCUCUCAAAGAGAAUGAUGGCUUCUUGGAGAGGAGUGAUCAUACGGUGAUUUCAUUGACCCCAAGAAUACCUGAAUUGGGGAAGCUGUCUUUGAGAGCCAGGAAGCCCUUAUCCCAGCUCCCCAGCCACCUAUGACGGAGGAGAGGCCACCUGUACUACCGCCACAGCUCCCCACCCCUGCCACACAGCAGCGCGGAGAGCCCACUGCAGGCAAGGCACCACAUCCACAAAUUUGACAGAAGAAACAGCAGGGGGAAAAGCUACACUGUCUGUUGCCUGCUCUCAGAUCGUCCCAGAUCAGGUCAGAGAACUCUAGCUGGCUGGGGCUGGCUAAGUAAGACCCUCCAAGACAGGGUAUCAAUCCAACCAGAGAAAAAUAUUCUCAGAGAAACUGAAAGGGACUGCAGACGGACUCUCUGGCCUUUAGAUUCAGAGGCCCAGAAUCUGUGCUUCACGCAGACAAAAUACACAAUAGGAGAAAUGGCCUCGGGUUAGCCCUUCCUCUCUAGAAACGAUUAGUUCUUCCCAAACUACAAAUACUAAAAACCUGUCUGCUUACAUAUGACAACUCGUUCAUUUGGGAUUUUACUUAGAGGCUCCCCCUGAAGCCACAGCUGCCGAGAGCAGCCACCCCGUCUUCAUCAUCUGGAGAAGGUACUUCCCUCUCACUUACCGGGUA
This is a long non-coding RNA of Mustela erminea (ermine), 1317 nucleotides long. RefSeq lists it as uncharacterized. NCBI's taxonomy places the organism in Eukaryota, Metazoa, Chordata, Mammalia, Carnivora, Mustelidae. The record is from RefSeq and is a predicted model, not a curated record. The transcript is spliced from 3 exons.